UAGUCUGCCUUAGGGUCUCCCCUGA
Molecule: non-coding RNA, 25 nt
Filed under: Rattus norvegicus (Norway rat)
Lineage: Eukaryota; Metazoa; Chordata; Mammalia; Rodentia; Muridae
Source: RNAcentral